Molecule: long non-coding RNA, 895 nt
Organism: Scophthalmus maximus (turbot)
Lineage: Eukaryota; Metazoa; Chordata; Actinopteri; Pleuronectiformes; Scophthalmidae
Exons: 6
Source: RefSeq, a predicted model, not a curated record
CCCAGCAGACCUGAGAUUUGCUUGAUGUAUUCUGUCUUGUCUGCAAUACUUUGUGUCUGAGAUCUACAGCUAUAAUGGCUAUUGGACUCCCUGUAGAUUAAAAAAAUGCAUUAAAUAGUAUAUCUUUAUAAACCUGCUCCCUGGUGAGAGAUGAGGCCCUGACUGUGCCACUGCCUGGGAGGGAGCGUCUGCCCCUGGCUGACUGAGUGUCUUGGGGCAUAUCACCAAGACCCUUAAAUAACCCACAAUCUCCAGGUCUUUGGUGGGGAUGUAUUUCUCCAGGAUCUUGUCAAAGUCAGGGUGGGAUGACAGGGACAGCAACAUUCGCCGGCCAAAGAACCUGAGGGUUGAAACAUUGUAAUCGUAACUGUCAGGGAGUGUCAGGUGAACUACCAGAAAGCACCCAAUAAAUGUCCAUUGUUAUGCAGAUGAUGCCCAGCUGUAUUCCUCUAUAAAGCCAGAUGAAACCAAUCAGGUAGACAAACUUCUGGAUUGUCUUAAAGACAUAAAGGCCUGGACAACUUCCACUGACUAUUUUUUGACUAGGACUUUUUUUUACUUCUAAAGUCAAAACUGAGUUAUGAAAACAUAAGUGAACCUGGUUUCCUGUGAGGAGUCUUGGGCGAGUUUGGUGACAGCAGGUAAGAUCCUCUCAGUGAGAUCUUUGCCCCCAGACAGAAGACGGGCAGCACCAACCUUCUCCACCAGAUUGGCCAGAUGCUGAGCGGUGCAUUUUCUCACCAAGGCGCUAAGAGAGAAGAGCGUUGAUGCUGCGAGUGGGAGUGCAGUGCUGCACCAUGCAAUCCAGGGCUGCAUCGACAUCUUGCCUAAUGAAGGCGUUAGUCUCCCCGGCCUUCUGCAGUAAGGCUUUAGCUGUUCCUUCCAGCUCCUGGUC